Molecule: unclassified non-coding RNA, 375 nt
Filed under: fungal sp.
Lineage: Eukaryota; Fungi
Description: partial internal transcribed spacer region
Rfam family: Eukaryotic small subunit ribosomal RNA (bases 1-46)
Source: RNAcentral
AAGUCGUAACAAGGUUUCCGUAGGUGAACCUGCGGAAGGAUCAUUAACACGUAUCCAACGUUAAAACAACCCCCGUGAACUUUCAGCUUGCUCCUGUAGCCCGUGAAAACAGCAAUCCCUGGUAAAUCAUUGUUGACCAGCUUUUGAGUCAGGGACCUCUGCCGAUUGUGAUAUUUUAUAGCUACGGUUGAGCGAUUGCAUCUAGUGACCUGGCAUCCCCAAGUAAUCAGUGUACGAUCGCUGUAGGCCCACACGGCCGGCGACCGGGUCACCGGGCUCUGCCCCUUUACGACAACACAGUACGAAUUGGCCGCGCGUGAAAUUCGCACGGCACCAAAAACCGAACAACUGUUAACAAUGGAUAUCUUGGUUCUC